AUUGAACGCUGGCGGCAGGCCUAACACAUGCAAGUCGAACGAGUGGCGGACGGGUGAGUAAUGUCUGGGAAACUGCCUGAUGUAGGGGGAUAACUACUGGAAACGUUAGCUACUACCGCAUACCAUCGGAUGUUCCCAGAUGGGAUUAGCUAGUAGGUGGGGUCACGGCUCACCUAGGCGACGAGCCCUAGCUGGUCUGAGAGGAUGACCAGCCACACUGGAAAGUAGACACGGUCCAGACUCCUACGGGAGGCAGCAGUGGGGAAUAUUGCACAAUGGGCGCAAGCCUGAUGCAGCCAUGCCGCGUGUAUGAAGAAGGCCUUCGGGUUGUAAAGUACUUUCAGCGGGGAGGCGUUACCCGCAGAAGAAGCACCGGCUAACUCCGUGCCAGCAGCCGCGGUAAUUC
This 406-nucleotide ribosomal RNA is filed under the name uncultured bacterium. RNAcentral's name for it is "partial 16S ribosomal RNA". It matches the Rfam family "Bacterial small subunit ribosomal RNA", at positions 30 to 526 of the family's 1533-position model. The record is from RNAcentral.